Molecule: ribosomal RNA, 497 nt
Filed under: Borrelia persica
Lineage: Bacteria; Pseudomonadati; Spirochaetota; Spirochaetia; Spirochaetales; Borreliaceae
Description: bacterial SSU rRNA
Rfam family: Bacterial small subunit ribosomal RNA
Source: RNAcentral
GAAGGUCGAAAGAUUGUAAAGUUCUUUUAUAAAUGAGGAAUAAGCUUUGUAGGAAAUGACAAGGUGAUGACGUUAAUUUAUGAAUAAGCCCCGGCUAAUUACGUGCCAGCAGCCGCGGUAAUACGUAAGGGGCGAGCGUUGUUCGGGAUUAUUGGGCGUAAAGGGUGAGUAGGCGGAUAUGCAAGUCUAUGCGUAAAAUACCACAGCUCAACUGUGGAGCUAUGCUGGAAACUGCAUGACUAGAGUCUGAUAGGGGAAGUUAGAAUUCCUGGUGUAAGGGUGGAAUCUGUUGAUAUCAGGAAGAAUACCAGAGGCGAAGGCGAACUUCUAGGUCAAGACUGACGCUGAGUCACGAAAGCGUAGGGAGCAAACAGGAUUAGAUACCCUGGUAGUCUACGCUGUAAACGAUGCACACUUGGUGUUAAUUGAGAGAUUAGUACCGAAGCUAACGUGUUAAGUGUGCCGCCUGGGGAGUAUGCUCGCAAGAGUGAAACUCA